Molecule: ribosomal RNA, 264 nt
Filed under: uncultured bacterium
Lineage: Bacteria
Description: partial 16S ribosomal RNA
Rfam family: Bacterial small subunit ribosomal RNA
Source: RNAcentral
CCGGACCGGCGCACGGGUGAGUAACACGUAUGGAACCUGCCCGCAGCAGGGGGAUAAGCGGAAGAAAUUCCGUCUAAUACCGCGUAACACCGCGGAGGGGCAUCCCUCGGCGGUUAAAGAUUCAUCGGCUGCGGAUGGCCAUGCGGCGCAUUAGCUAGUCGGCGGGGUAACGGCCCACCGAGGCGACGAUGCGUAGGGGCUCUGAGAGGAAGGUCCCCCACACUGGUACUGAGACACGGACCAGACUCCUACGGGAGGCAGCAG